AGCCCCGUAGUGUAGCGGCCAAGCAUGAGAGCCUCUGGAGCUCUAGACGGCGGUUCGAAUCCGCCCGGGGCUA
RNAcentral lists this transfer RNA (73 nucleotides) under Candidatus Aenigmatarchaeota archaeon. RNAcentral describes it as "tRNA-Gln". It matches the Rfam family "tRNA". From Rfam's summary of the family: Transfer RNA (tRNA) molecules are approximately 80 nucleotides in length. Their secondary structure includes four short double-helical elements and three loops (D, anti-codon, and T loops). The record is from RNAcentral. Lineage: Archaea; Nanobdellati; Candidatus Aenigmatarchaeota.